GCUUAGGGAGGGUGGAACACCCACCCAGAGCCGGAAAGUUGUCCAAACUUGGUCAUUUAGAGGAAGUAAAAGUCGUAACAAGGUUUCCUUCCCAGCGAACCACGGAAGCCUUUGCACCCCGCAAGGGGGAAGUGCCGCGACUAUAAAGAAAGCAUUGUCAGCAGGUAGCCUUUGAGGCUGCAACACGAUCGAAUUGCGGGAACGUCCUAAAGCUCCAUGGUACCAACUCGAUGAGGGAAACCUUUCGAGGGCCUGCGUUAACAACGCGGGGUAAGGUUAUAACCUGUGGAGAUUUUGCAAUGGACCAUUCGCAGCGAAGCCCCUACUGGCGGAAAGCCUAUGGGGAUCGUUCACAGACUAAGUGGUCGUGGGUUACGGGCCGUUAAGCCUGUGCCUAAGAUAUAGUCGGGCUGUCGAGGAGACUCGAUAGGGUGUUUCGCACCAAACCGUUCCGUAGGUGAACCUGCGGAAGGAUCAUUACAGAGUUCAUGCCCUCACGGGUAGACCUCCCACCCUUGUGUAUCUAUACAUUGUUGCUUUGGCGAGCUGCCUUGGCCUUAACUGCCCCAAGGCCUCAAGCUUUCGAGCCUGAGAGUCGCCCGCCGGAGGAAAAAUAAACCCUGAUAAUUAAUGUCGUCUGAGUACUAUAUAAUAGUUAAAACUUUCAACAACGGAUCUCUUGGUUCUGGCAUCGAUGAAGAACGCAGCGAAAUGCGAUAAGUAAUGUGAAUUGCAGAAUUCAGUGAAUCAUCGAAUCUUUGAACGCACAUUGCGCCCCUUGGCAUUCCGGGGGGCAUGCCUGUUCGAGCGUCAUUUCAACCCUCAAGCUCAGCUUGGUAUUGGGCCUCGUCGGUUACACGACGGGCCUUAAAGUCAGUGGCGGCGCCGUUGGGUCCUGAACGUAGUAAUAUAUUUCGUUACAGGUGCCCCGCGUGCUUCUGCCAUUAAACCCCCAAUCUUUUAUGGUUGACCUCGGAUCAGGUAGGGAUACCCGCUGAACUUAAGCAUAUCAAUAAGCGGAGGAAAAGAAACCAACAGGGAUUGCCUCAGUAACGGCGAGUGAAGCGGCAUAAGCUCAAAUUUGAAAUCUGGCUCUUUCAGGGUCCGAGUUGUAAUUUGUAGAAGAUGUUUCGGGUGUGGCACCGGUCUAAGUUCCUUGGAACAGGACGUCAUAGAGGGUGAGAAUCCCGUACGUGACUGGCUGCCUACGCCCAUGUGAAACUCUUUCGACGAGUCGAGUUGUUUGGGAAUGCAGCUCAAAAUGGGUGGUAUAUUUCAUCUAAAGCUAAAUAUUGGCCAGAGACCGAUAGCGCACAAGUAGAGUGAUCGAAAGAUGAAAAGCACUUUGGAAAGAGAGUUAAACAGUACGUGAAAUUGUUGAAAGGGAAGCGCUUGCAAUCAGACUUGCGCCUAGUUGAUCAUCCAAGCUUUUGGUUGGUGCACUCGACUAGGCUCAGGCCAGCAUCGGUUUGGGCGGUUGGAUAAAGACUUGGGGAACGUAGCCUCCUUCGGGUGGUGUUAUAGCCCCAGGUGCAAUGCAGCCUGCCUGGACCGAGGACCGCGCUUCGGCUAGGAUGCUGGCGUAAUGGUUGUAAGCGACCCGUCUUGAAACACGGACCAAGGAGUCGACCUAUUUAGCGAGUGUUUGGGUGUUAAACCCAUACGCGUAAUGAAAGUGAACGGAGGUGAGAACCCGUUAGGGCGCAUCAUCGACCGAUCCUGAUGUCUUCGGAUGGAUUUGAGUAAGAGCUAAGUGGGUCGGACCCGAAAGAUGGUGAUCUAUACGUGAAUAGGGUGAAGCCAGAGGAAACUCUGGUGGAGGCUCGCAGCGGUUCUGACGUGCAAAUCGAUCGUCAAAUUUGCGUAUAGGGGCGAAAGACUAAUCGAACCAUUAAACCUUACUAGGUGGUUGAGAGAGGAUCGUUUGAGAGAUCCUUUAGUUCCCACUCGGGGCAACAUCGUCAAAUUGUUCGGGGACCACCUGUGAAUUUGCAAGCUACCGCAGCCAGCUCGAAAGGGUUGGUGAGCACCUGAGAUAGCGACUUAGGGUAUGGUAAUAACGCUUGCAUGGGGUGUAUCCGCAGCGAAUCCCUAAGCCUUUUUAGGUAUGGGUGUCGUUCACAGACUAGACGGCGGUGGACGUGGUAUCGGAAGGUAUAGGCUUAAUAACCCUAUAUUCUUACAUGUCACGCUUAAGAUAUAGUCGAACCCCCCAGAGAUGGGGUGA
RNAcentral lists this ribosomal RNA (2227 nucleotides) under Rutstroemia firma. RNAcentral's name for it is "eukaryotic LSU rRNA". The stretch from base 968 to 2227 matches the Rfam family "Eukaryotic large subunit ribosomal RNA", at positions 1 to 1676 of the family's 3401-position model. Lineage: Eukaryota; Fungi; Ascomycota; Leotiomycetes; Helotiales; Rutstroemiaceae. The record is from RNAcentral.